Haliotis rubra (blacklip abalone) is the source of this 93-nucleotide long non-coding RNA. RefSeq lists it as uncharacterized. NCBI's taxonomy places the organism in Eukaryota, Metazoa, Mollusca, Gastropoda, Lepetellida, Haliotidae. The transcript is spliced from 3 exons. The record is from RefSeq and is a predicted model, not a curated record.
GUCCAAUCAGGUGUCUACGCUGGGGAGUUGAGCGUACCAAUCACAAGGCUUCUGUCAUACCUCACUUCCGCUUCUUCGAACUAAACUUGGCAA